UAAGGUCUAACCUGCCCAAUGAGGAAUUAAAUGGCCGCAGUAUUUUGACUGUGCAAAGGUAGCAUAAUUAUUAGUUUUUUAAUUGAAAGCUUGUAUGAAGGGUUGGACGAAAUAAAAUCUGUCUCUAUUUAAAUUAAAUUAGAAUUUAACUUUUAAGUCAAAAGGCUUAAAUGUUUAUAAAAGACGAGAAGACCCUAUAGAUCUUUAUUUAAUUAAUAUUUUAAUAAUUUAGGAUUAUUCCAGUUUAAAUUGUUAAUUAAAUUUUAUUGGGGUAAUAUAGAGAUUAAAAGAAUUCUUUUUAUUUAUUACAUUGGUUUAUGAAUAUAUGAUCCAGUAUUAUUGAUUGUAAGAUUAAGUUACCUUAGGGAUAACAGCGUAAUUUUUUUGGAGAGCUCAUAUCGAUAAAAAAGUUUGCGACCUCGAUGUUGGAUUAAAAGUUAGCUUGGGUGUAGAAGCUCAAGAUUUUGGUCUGUUCGACCAUUAAACUUUUACAUGAUCUGAGUUCAGACCGGCGUAAGCCAGGUCGGUUUCUAUCUUUAUUAAGAUAAAAUAUUUUAGUACGAAAGGACCAAAUAUUUAAUAUAAUUAUAUUUAUUUUUUGAAUAAUAAUAUUACUUUGGCAGAAUAGUGCAAUGAAUUUAGAAUUCAUGAAUGUAAUUAUAUUACAAGUAAUACUUGUAUUUAGGAGAUUUAUUAAUAAUAGUUUUAUGUAUAUUAAUUCUUGUAAUUUGUGUAUUAGUUGGUGUAGCUUUUUUGACUUUAUUGGAACGUAAGGUGUUAGGUUAUAUUCAGAUCGGA
RNAcentral lists this ribosomal RNA (798 nucleotides) under Cicindela sp. 'ongosiceps'. RNAcentral's name for it is "partial 16S ribosomal RNA". The stretch from base 1 to 561 matches the Rfam family "Bacterial large subunit ribosomal RNA", at positions 1846 to 2925 of the family's 2925-position model. The record is from RNAcentral. Lineage: Eukaryota; Metazoa; Arthropoda; Insecta; Coleoptera; Carabidae.